UGGGGAAUAUUGCACAAUGGGGGAAACCCUGAUGCAGCGACGCCGCGUGAACGAAGAAGGUAUUCGUAUCGUAAAGUUCUGUCCUAUGGGAAGAUAAUGACAGUACCAUAGAAGAAAGCUCCGGCUAAAUACGUGCCAGCAGCCGCGGUAAUACGUAUGGAGCGAGCGUUGUCCGGAAUUAUUGGGCGUAAAGGGUACGCAGGCGGUUUAAUAAGUCGAAUGUUAAAGAUCGGGGCUCAACCCCGCAAAGCAUUGGAAACUGAUAAACUUGAGUAGUGGAGAGGAAAGUGGAAUUCCUAGUGUAGUGGUGAAAUACGUAGAUAUUAGGAGGAAUACCAGUAGCGAAGGCGACUUUCUGGACUCAAACUGACGCUGAGGUACGAAAGCGUGGGGAGCAAACAGG
RNAcentral lists this ribosomal RNA (403 nucleotides) under bacterium. RNAcentral's name for it is "partial 16S ribosomal RNA". It matches the Rfam family "Bacterial small subunit ribosomal RNA", at positions 355 to 776 of the family's 1533-position model. The record is from RNAcentral.